RNAcentral lists this long non-coding RNA (521 nucleotides) under Rattus norvegicus (Norway rat). Its description in RNAcentral is "long non-coding RNA NONRATT023896". Lineage: Eukaryota; Metazoa; Chordata; Mammalia; Rodentia; Muridae. The record is from RNAcentral.
GGAAGGUUCGGGAAAACAAGGCGGAGGUUUGCAGUGAUGCGGAGAGGCCUCCAGGCCUGUGGUUGAUGAUGGAUGCUGCUCCCUCCCCGAGGCACAGGCUCUCCCCUCAAACAGGAAAGCUGAGCCAGCUGCUGGGCCAGGUGCUUCCAAGACAAACAUCCUACGUACCCACUGUCCCUAUGCUGGGCCUGGCUUUUGUUCCUGCAGGAUGAUAAAGACCCACCUUGGGAAUCCUGGAUACAGGCCUCUGGGAAACCUUCUUGGGGGCUUUGGGCUGCUGCCAGGCAGAGUUGUGGGCCGAGAAGGGGGAGCCCAGGAAGGCUCCCAGCAACAGGAGUAGCUCAUGUCCAGCCAAGUUCCAGGAGAGAUUUUUUUACAAGAGCCAAGGCUCUGGGCUCUGGACUCUGGGCUGACCGACCAUCAGGGGAUGCAGAUGGCUUCAUCCUUAAUGAGAGAUUACACAUUUAAAAGUCUUAACCCCAUCUUUGAGUAUUAAUCACCAUAAGAAGCAAAAGGAAAAA